UGGGGAAUAUUGGACAAUGGGCGGAAGCCUGAUCCAGCAACGCCGCGUGAGGGAUGACGGCCUUCGGGUUGUAAACCUCUUUCAGUACCGACGAAGCGAGAGUGACGGUAGGUACAGAAGAAGCACCGGCCAACUACGUGCCAGCAGCCGCGGUAAUACGUAGGGUGCGAGCGUUGUCCGGAAUUAUUGGGCGUAAAGGGCUCGUAGGCGGUUUGUCGCGUCGGGAGUGAAAACAUCCAGCUUAACUGGGUGCUUGCUUUCGAUACGGGCAGACUUGAGGUAUGCAGGGGAGAAUGGAAUUCCUGGUGUAGCGGUGAAAUGCGCAGAUAUCAGGAGGAACACCGGUGGCGAAGGCGGUUCUCUGGGCAUUACCUGACGCUGAGGAGCGAAAGUGUGGGGAGCGAACAGGAUUAGAUACC
RNAcentral lists this ribosomal RNA (419 nucleotides) under uncultured bacterium. RNAcentral's name for it is "bacterial SSU rRNA". It matches the Rfam family "Bacterial small subunit ribosomal RNA", at positions 355 to 786 of the family's 1533-position model. The record is from RNAcentral.